UCCCAAUGAAGAAACAUACACAUGUCUUACUUCCUGUCCCAGUGCCAGAGCUUGAAAAGGUGAACCUACUGGGACUGGCUGGGGGAGAAGAGGAAAAUUUGUUCCAGAAUGAACUGUCUGAGGGAU
Molecule: small nucleolar RNA, 126 nt
Filed under: Jaculus jaculus (lesser Egyptian jerboa)
Lineage: Eukaryota; Metazoa; Chordata; Mammalia; Rodentia; Dipodidae
Description: Small nucleolar RNA SNORD22 (ENSJJAG00000009415.1)
Rfam family: Small nucleolar RNA SNORD22
About the family: U22 is a member of the C/D class of snoRNA which contain the C (UGAUGA) and D (CUGA) box motifs. U22 is encoded within the U22 snoRNA host gene (UHG) in mammals and has also been identified in Xenopus.
Source: Rfam by way of RNAcentral